CAGACGCUCAGACCACCAUAACAGCACCUGGUCUGCCGGUCCCUGGGUGGGGUAUUGCUCUGCUGGUUCUGAUGUCGCUGUUCUUUGCCGCCGUCUUGAUAUGCAUGUGCUGCGCGCCUGUGUGUUGCAGAGGUAAUGGAAUGGAUGCCCAAGGGGGGAUGUCCUCUGUCUUUGACAGACUGGCAUUUUGGAAAUAAAGAACGUCUCCUGGACUUGCAUUGCAUCCUGGCACCUGUCUCAUGCGAAGAUCUUGAAUUGUGUGUUUACAUUGAAUUGUUUGUUUACAUUGAUUUCUUGUCCUCGGUCGUUCUAUAUGUCACACUCUAAUUGAUGCCAUCAGUAGCACAGAGGAUGUAGUUGAUGUGAAUCACUAAGCCUCUCACCUUGCUUUUUUAAUUACAUAUAUCAACACAAACAAAUCUUAUCAUAUUCCAAUAACCUGAUUCAUCAAGCUCUCAUCAAUAUUAAACAAUGCAUUAUUUUUCUUGAAGUGGAUUUAAUGCAUGCCAACAGGGCUAAUCACUAGAUUCUGAAAUUUUGUUAGUUAAAUGAGAGUUGAAAAAUCAAGGUUGGGAUCAUACUUUGAAUUGAAUUUGAUUCUCUACAACUCAGAGUUUAGUGAAAAGCCCUGUAGCAUUCCUAUGUCCCACAUAUCAUGAUUUGAAUUAUGCUUCCAGUAUGUUAAAGGGACAGAAGACUAGGCACCACAAUCACGUUAUCUUACAGAUGUGAUUAUUGUGUUUUUAGAUGGGGCUCUGAAUGAAAAUGGUGUCAAUUCUGCAGUUUUUGCAGUUCACAUGCUUACAUGUGGCAUUGGAUUCAGUGCUCCUGUUAAAAAAAAGUAUUGGAUUGGCAGAGUAUGGCUUGUCACAAGUGCCCUGAGUGCUUCUCUUUGAGAAGCAUUUGAUUGGUCAAAAGUCAUCAGAACUGAUAAUGUAAUUAGAGUUGCAUCGGGCUUAAAUGAGUAGACUAUGACAGAGCUGGGAUAAAAGUGAGAUUAAUUGUCUUUUUAUUUAAUUAAAAAUAAUAAUAACAUACUUUUUUUUUCUCUGCUUUUGUUUUUCUAAUAAACUUUCUUUUCUCAAAAAUGUUGCUGUUUUGGGGCAUUAAAUCAAUAACAUUUUGUAUUUAUUUGAAAUAAUGGAAUUAUAUAUUAAG
Molecule: long non-coding RNA, 1158 nt
Organism: Pelobates fuscus (common spadefoot toad)
Lineage: Eukaryota; Metazoa; Chordata; Amphibia; Anura; Pelobatidae
Exons: 3
Source: RefSeq, a predicted model, not a curated record